RNAcentral lists this unclassified non-coding RNA (241 nucleotides) under Hevea brasiliensis (rubber tree). Lineage: Eukaryota; Viridiplantae; Streptophyta; Magnoliopsida; Malpighiales; Euphorbiaceae. The record is from RNAcentral.
GAAAAAGACCAGAAGCAUUCUGGUUUAUGGCAUAUCUUGGCUAGUGAUCUUGGCUGUCUUGCUUGUCAUGAAGACGGUGUCUGUGGGAAGGCGGAGAUUCAGUGCAAACUUCCAGCUGGUUUUCCGACUGAUCAAGUUCUUCAUCUUUGUAACGUUUGCUUCUGUUCUCAUCAUACUGAUUGCUCUCCCACAUAUGACAUUUCAAGAUAUCAUUGUAUGCUUCCUCGCUUUCUUGCCUACU